UGUCGGAAUAUUGGGCGUAAGCGCGCGCAGGCGGUUUCUUAAGUCUGAUGUGAAAGCCCACGGCUCAACCGUGGAGGGUCAUUGGAAACUGGGAGACUUGAGUGCAGAAGAGAAGAGCGGAAUUCCACGUGUAGCGGUGAAAUGCGUAGAGAUGUGGAGGAACACCAGUGGCGAAGGCGGCUCUUUGGUCUGUAACUGACGCUGAGGCGCGAAAGCGUGGGGAGCGAACAGGAUUAGAUACCCCA
RNAcentral lists this ribosomal RNA (245 nucleotides) under Bacillus sp. UST991130-010. RNAcentral's name for it is "partial 16S ribosomal RNA". It matches the Rfam family "Bacterial small subunit ribosomal RNA", at positions 552 to 789 of the family's 1533-position model. Lineage: Bacteria; Bacillati; Bacillota; Bacilli; Caryophanales; Bacillaceae. The record is from RNAcentral.